Molecule: ribosomal RNA, 253 nt
Filed under: uncultured bacterium
Lineage: Bacteria
Description: partial 16S ribosomal RNA
Rfam family: Bacterial small subunit ribosomal RNA
Source: RNAcentral
UACGGAGGGUGCGAGCGUUACCCGGAUUUACUGGGCGUAAAGGGCGUGUAGGCGGUUUUCUAAGUCCGGGGCUAAAGAGCAGGGCUCAACCCUGGGUGUGACUUUGAUACUGGAAAGCUCGACGGCUGGAUGGGGCAGCGGAAUUUCCGGAGUAGCGGUGUAAUUCGCAGAUACCGGGAGUAACGAGAAUAGCGAAGGCAGCUGCCUGGACAGUACGUGACGCCGAGGCGCCAAAGCGUGGGGAGCAAACCGG